Molecule: non-coding RNA, 7502 nt
Organism: Pimephales promelas (fathead minnow)
Lineage: Eukaryota; Metazoa; Chordata; Actinopteri; Cypriniformes; Leuciscidae
Source: RefSeq, a predicted model, not a curated record
AUUCCUCUUUUUAGGCAACUUUAGCAUGGGUGUCCAAACUUAUUCACAUCACUGUAAAUGUAUCUUGAUUUAAGAUGUUUAGAUAUUUCCACUGGGAAAACAACACAAAAAUGUGCACAUUUUUGUGUGUUGACCAUUGUGGCGUCCUGUAAAAACAGCAAAAAACAGCAGCAGCUUCAUUGCUUCAAUGAUUAACUAGUUAUUUGACUGCCUGUUUGAUUUCAUUUCAUUUGAUUACAACCAUUGUCAUCUGGAGUGUUUUCUUUGUUCUUCAAUAUUUUGCAAAAGAAUAUAAACAUGAAUUAGUGUACCGUAUUUUCCAUAAUUUGAUGCCAUGGUAGUAAAUAACAGAGCAGUAAUUCUGACACGAUGUGAACGCAGCACGUCAGCCGUGAGCCUGAUAUCAUCAUUUGAUAGUUGUUUUCAGCUGAAGAUUUACAUUCAAAGUCCUUCAUUCUGUAUUUUAAGGACUAAAAGUGAAUGGUGACCUUUGCGUCGACUCUCUUUCACUGAGGCUUGAGAGUUUUGGCUUGACAGAAUUCAGAAGCGAUCAAACGGCUCGUCAGCCUGACCUUUUUAAAACCAUUACCGAACGCUUCCUCUCGCCGAAAAACAGAUGGCGAAUGAAAAAGCUCUCUGCGUGACGGUUGCUGCGAGAUGGAUUUGGUGUCGUUAGCGAAUGGGUGAUUUUUGAACGAGUUCUGGGCCCUGGAGUCACAUCCGCCUCCAAUCAUUCAUCUCGCGAUGUAAUUCGUCAUUUGAUCAAAUCUGAAAUGGUUUGAUCCGACCCAAUAUGUCAAGCUUAAUCAGAUUUAUAAGCACAUGUGAGGUUCAUGCGGCUUGUGGAAACAGAAUCAUGGUUAGUUUUCCGCUUCUGAUUUGCAUAUGAAAUUUGAAAUUGAAUUGUUUUUUGGGCAAUCUCUCCACUCGCACAGCACCAAUUUCAAUCCCACAAUCCCCUGCUCGACUCCAAUAGAGAAUGAACUGGAGACGCCCGCUCUUAAUGGAUGAUCCACGAGGCUCAAACACUGCAGAAGAGUUUAGUGCUGAUAUCAGAUCACAGCAGCUUAGUUCUGUUCCUCUGACUUUACACACACUCGUUUCUCAUCUCUCCGGCACGUCUUUUCUCACUCAUGUCAGCUGCGUUUUGGAGCGCGAGUUCUGGAAGUUCUCCGCAGAAGGAGAUGUCUCGCUCAGUGAUCAUAGACAGCGCUGCAGAUGGAUUAUAUGAAGCGUUGUUGCCCCCAGAGGGGAAGUUUCUGGGUGCCCCUGAGGGAUUAUGGGUAACAGAGGAACGAACUGAUGGGCUUUUGGCUUCCUAACUUCUUUAUUUUGCUGUUUUCCUUUUUCAUUCCCUACGGAAAUGAUUAUUUAUCUCAGAGUAAAAGACACAUUCACUGGACACACAUGAUUUCAGAGGAAUAUAUAAUCAGACAAAAAGCAUUUACUCACCCUUAUGUUGUUCCAAACCUGUAUGAUUUGUGUUUUGCCUUCUGUGAAAAGCAAAAGGAGGUUUUCAAAGAAUGUUUUUUUUUCCCCAUUACAGUUAAAACGAAAAAAAUAACGUAAAAGCAUCUUAAAAAUAAAGGUUCUUUAUUGGCGUCGAGGGAACCUUUCCGUUUAGUACAGCAGAUUAGUAAAAAAAAAUCAUUCACUUUGGUAUAGAAGCUUGAAAUUUGGUACAGAUACUCUCUCUUGGAAAAAGACGUUGGCCAAUCAAAUGUAUUUUUUAAGAUGGCCGCCAUUGCUAUUAAAUGCUUAUUAUAUCAAUUAUUCAAACCGUGAUCCAAGCAUAAUAUUUGAUACAAAACUCUCUAAAGAACAUGUUAUUGGAAAAAGAUGCUUGUCCCUCAAAAAUUCAAGAUGGUCGCCAUUUUUAAAGAUGACCACCGUUCUUGUUGAAAAUUAAUUCUUUCAAUUGUUCAAAUAGUGAUGCAAACUUAAAAUUAGGCAGACGUAUUCUUCAAGGAACACUCUUUGGAAAAAGGUAUGUACCACUCAAAUCAAAAUGGUCACCAUCUUGAAUUUUUGAGUGGCACACACCUUUUUACAUAAUACUGUUCAUUGAAGAAUAUUUGUACCAAAUUUCAUGAUAGCAUCACCAUUUGAAAAAAAAAAAACAUUUAAGGAUUCAAAAAAAAUGGUGGCCAUCUUGAAAAAAAAUGGUUACCAUCUUAAACUUUUUAAGGGGACAAGCACCAUUUUCACCAUUUGAGAAAAGAGAGUAUUUUCACACAGUAGUUUGAACGACUGACAUAAUCAGCAUUUGACAGAAAUAGCGGCCAUCUUGAAAAAAGAUGCCACCAUGUUGAAUUUUUGGGUGGUCAACGCCUUUUUCACAAAAAGUGACCCUUAGAGAGUAUCUGUGCCAAAUUUUAUGCUUCUAUACCAAUUUGAACGAUUCUCUUGAAAUAUGCCAUUAAUCUGCUGCACUAGUUACACAAAAGGCUUUGGUUCUAGAGGAUGUUCUUUACACUAACACAGUGUCUACAUCAGACACAAGCUGUGCGACACGACAAGAACAAACAGAGCCCAUUAUAAUCAGUGAUGCUGUCUACACUGGAUGCGGUGCGAAACGACACGACAGAUUCCCGAUUCCCUGUUGUGUUUAUGACAUGAUUCAAGCACUCGUACUACUGACACGGGGAACAAAUGAAUUUGCAACGGUCGCUUUGUCGCAUCCUGUGUAGGGUAGACAACCUCCAGCUGUCCGGUGUAGACGAUGCAAGGAAAAAUGGGUAUUUUAAGAACUCUAAGAGCAUUUCAGUGGUGUUGCUGUAAAAACCCUCUUUAGGAACUUUUAUUUUGAAGUAACAGCAGUCCAUGUGACUAAUCCACUAGAUUUAAUGUCCUAAUAAGAUGCUUUCGACCUACAUUUAAGAAAUGCAUCUUAUUAGACUUUAUUAAAUAUAUGAAAACAUUAAAUAUGACACCAAACAGAAAGUCACGCACGUGUGGAACAACAUGACGGUUUGUCCGUUGAAUCCCCUGAAAUAGGGCUGCAUGAAAUCAAAUUGCUAUAUAAAAACUGAUUAAAAAAAAAAGCUCCAGGUUUGCUGUGCUUGUUUGUAGGGCUGCACAAUUUGGCCAAAAUGUUGUCAUUUUAUAUGGACGUCUAUAAAAUAAUAUUAAUAAUAACAAUUUUUUGUUUGUUUUUUAUUAAAAGUUUAGAGCUCUUAAAAGCCUGGUUUAUAACCCCUUCUCACUGCAAUUUUGAGAAGAUGCUUAGCAUGUUUUCUAAUAAAAGCAUGUUAAAAGUGACCCAAAGUCAUAUGUAUUUAAUUAAAUCACAGCCUUUGUGAUUUAAUACUUGUACUAAGCCAUAUCGCGAUUUCGGUUUUAUUUCAAUCAAUCGUGCAGCCCUAUCCUGCAAUAUGAGCAUCAGGCUACAGGAAACCCAUCCUUCUUUCAUUCUGAAUCCCUCUCUCUCUCUCUGUCUAUCAGUCAUAUUCUCAUGAUGAGCUGAGGGCGUCUCUCACACACACACACACACACACACACCGUAUCUGAUCUUUGCAGAACUGCAUCAUGGACUUCUGAUGAUAACAUUGACCUUUGACCUUUGAGGUGACCUCUCCCCUCCUCUAGUGCUGCUGUGUGUCUGAUGCCUGGCCUGCAACUGUAAACUUCCCCAAUCCUCUCCCGUCCCGCCUCUGCCUGCUUCGCUCCUGUACAAAGGUGCAAUAAAAGCUUCGUCAUGAUGUUUUCACUUAUUUUACCGCACACACACACACAGGUGACCCGAGCGCUCACACCUGCAGCCACAGAUGAAACAGUCGAUGGCCAUAUUUGCAAGAGUUUCCUUUGUUAAUUCUCUAUAUUUUUUACUCUGUAAAGACAAUAAUUAAUGUGUAAAAAAAGAAGAAAAACGCUGAAUGUUCAACUGGAGAUGUAAUUAAUGACGUCAUGUGGCUUCGUCCAUUUGCCUUGCCUGAGUCUGGAUGUGUAAAAACCCUCCUGUGGUCCUGAGUUCAGUGUACAGACCCUCUUCUCGCUAUUUGUCUGUCUCUCUAUCCGUCUGUCUCUCUUUCCACUCAAGCAGCGCCGGUGUUCAAACUGGCCCAAUAUGGGAUGGUUCCAUGAAAACCUUUAACAUUCAUUCCAGACUGCAACAUAGUGAACCACAUGUACCGGAUGUGGGCCGGAUCUGGGCCGUCACUGUGUUGCUGUCUGGGAUGAGGUUCUUUACUGUGGAAAAGGGUUAUUUUUAGGUUGAAGAACUGUUCUUUGGGGAACCAAAAUGUUCUCUUCUAUUGCAACGCUUUCGGAAACUUUAUUUUAAAGAGAGAGUAUUUAUCAAAAUUGUUCUCAAAAAUCAUUGAACCACUUCAGAGUUCGUGAAUUUACUGCCCUAGUGGACAUUGUUAAAGGAGCUGUAUGCAAGAAAUUUAUUUCAAAUUAAUUAUAAAUUUUCCCUGAUAUGUCACUAGACAUUAAGAAAUCCUGUUCAUUUCACUGACAACAGCAGUCCGGCCAGGAUAUUGUCAUUUAAAAAGUGAAGUCGCAGCCCUCGACUGAUGUUGAUGUUGUCAUGUUGUGUUUUGUUCUGAUGCGUCACCCUCCACCGAUCUACCAAUCACAGAGUCAGAAAUGUUGCGUCAUUCGGGUUGCCAGCUCUUCUCUCGUUACCACAGCUACAAACGUGUCGGAAUCAGAUAAAAAAAUUCUAACGUUGCGAAACCCUCAAAAACUCGAUAUGAAUCCGAAAUACUUUGUUACAAAGUCCGAAAUUAAUAAUUAACAGAAAAAAACUCACUGUGUUGGACUCGUCACUUGCCAUUGGAAGCUUUUUGUAGAAGCCUAAGUUCCUGGUGGAUCCUACAGCAUAUCUGGCAACCUCGAGUCACGGGAGAAGGCGGGGAAACACCCUAAUUUGAAAGUGACUGCAGUACCAGUUUUGGCCACAAUGGUGUCGUUAGCGAAUCUGUGUUUUUUGAACGAGUUCUGGGUCCUGGACUCCAAUCAUUCAUCUCGUUCUGCAUUCGUCAUUUGAUCAAAUCUGAAAUAGUUUGAUCCGACCCAAUAUGUCAAGCUUAAACAGUUUUAUAAGCACACGUGAGUUUCAUACGCCUGGUGGAAACGGAAUCGUGGUUAAUCAUGGCAUUUAAAAAGUGAAAUCGCAGCCCUCGACUGAUGUUGAUGUUAUCAUGUUGUGUUUUGUAAUGAAGCAUCACCCUCCACCGAUCUACCAAUCACAGAGUGUUGCGGCAUUCGGGUUGCCAGCCCUUCUCUAGUUACCACAGCUGCAGAUACAAACGUGUCGGAAUCAAAUAAAAAAAAAUUCUAUCGUUGCAAAACCCCCAAAAAACUCAAUAUGAAUCUGAAAUACUUUGUUACAAAGUCCGAAAUUAAUAACUCGCUGUGUAGGACUCGUCACUUGCCGUUGGAAGAUUCUUGUAAAAGCCUACAUUCCUGCUGGAACCUGCAACAUAUCUGGCAACCUCGAGUCAACCUAAUUUGAAAGUGAUUGCAGUACCAGUUUUGGCCACAAUCUUGCAUACAGCUCCUGUGAUCUCAAAAUAUCAGCGGAUCACUCAUUAGUUAAGCACUAGCUCUGGAUCCGAACUAAACGUGACCCCUGCUGGUUUGGAUUCAGUAACAUCAGAUGUUUAGCCGAGUCUCCAGCUGAACGCUGGCACUGUUUCAGUGGUUUCUCUCUGUUUUCGUGUUCUCCCGUCAUUCCCCCUCCUGAUCGAGAGUCCCAAGUGGAAUGUUCUUAAUUUUCUGGGUUUGCUCCGUUUGGUUUGGUUUUUCGCUCUUUUUAUUUUAUUUUUUAUUUUUAACUGUAUAAUGGUUCCUUGAGAAAAUGUUUGUCUGAAUAAAACUGGAGUUUGUCCUCGUCCAGUUCUUCUCCAAAUGAGUCUUUUCUUGUGGCUUGCGUUGGAAACUGGUGGCUGUGAAUCAUCUUAAGGUUUGAGAACUGGUUCUUAUUUAAAAAAUUAUAGAGUUGAAGCGCGUUCGGGUCCAUUAGCCGUUCUUGAACAUCUAUCAUUUAAAUCGGGUGACAAAUGGACUGGGUGAGUUUUCAUUUUAUGCCGAAUUAUUCCUCCGAAGUGAAUACAUGUGGACGUUUUCUGCAGAACAGAUUGAAAUAUGACUCUCAUCUAGAAAAUUGUAAUCCCUCCACUGCAACCUUAAUGUCAUCAAUGAUCUCCAUGUAGUGAUGUAUUGAUUGUUGUCUGAGACACGAUUUCCCAUGGAUACGCCCUCAGAACGGAGCCGCACGCAUCCGUCAAAGCUAAUGAUCUCCAGCCGACGCGGCACACUUUCUUCCUUUGUCUUCAUUUGAUAAGCUUUAUCCCGCCAUUGAUUUCAUAAGACCCGAUUUAUACGCUUUAAUUCAUUAGGCCGGCAGGAAAAUCCAUUAUUUUGUCAGUCACUCUUGCUUUGCGUCUCUGUGUCGCCCACUCGUUCUCUCUCUCUCUGGUCUCACUCCAUUUAGGACGUGCUAACCGAUAUGGUUUCAGUGGGAGUCUAGAACAGUCCUCUUCUUCCAGAAAUCUUUAUUGAAGUGGGAUCUCCUCUCUCUCGGCUCCUCACCUCUGAUAUAAGCAAUUUCGGGCUGACAGCGGGCGUGGAGUUUAUUUACAGACGGUAAAGUGGGAAUUUGCACCAUCUGGACUCCUCAACAUACCUGCAUUCAACAUGUCAAUUUGUCCUCUUUCAGACUUCGUCAGAAAACAAGAGAGCUGUUCCUGAGGUCUCCAGAGGGAUUGUGGGUAGUCGCAGCAUAUGGCAGAACGUGUGUUCCCUCCACGAGUGAGACAGCGCUCAGCAUUAUUUCCCUUUGUUAUGGGUCCGAUUGUAAACACACUUCAAUCCAGAUCAGUCCACAAACACGUGUCACAUGUCAGACGGCAGCUGAUCCCGUGGCAGUCUAACAUUUCACGCCGGUCUGUCUCAGAAGUGGAAGCUGAUGUGCUUGUGGAGACACUGGCUCCUCUGAGGAAACGCCAUGUAAAUCUAAUCUCUAAUUGCUGCAAUCUCUCCGUGAAGUCUGCACGGGAGUCGUUUGCCUAUAACGUUAACGACACGGAAGAACGAUAUCGCUGGAAUCAAUUUCAGAACUGAUGAAUGAAAUGCUGAGCAUUGAAAGUGCGCCUAUAAUAAACAGAACAUUAUCGUCCAUUGGCGCGAACGCUAAUAUAGUUUGUUCUUUGUGUGAAUGGGCCUUUCCUGUAGGCUAUAUAGGCAUGCAAAAUAAGAUGGACACUGUUUAAUUAACAGAUAUAAAUGCAAGUGCACAAUCAGCAACUCCCAGGCCCCCUGAGACCCCGUGUCCUUCGGUUUGCUAAAUCAGUUUCAGUCUAUUUCCAGAAUAAAAGCAUUGGCAUUUAAUUCCACAUGACGUUAAAAGAUGAUUCAGGUUUUUAUAGUGUAGUAAUUCCUGUGCUGAUGUGCCGGUGGAGCUGUUGCUGCAGUGAGUGUAAUGACCAUCUGCCUCCUCUGAUAACUGCAGUAAACGCUGACCUGACUCCAGCAAACGUCCUCACACCCUCAUG